GCAAGAUGUGACUUUGCUUCUCCUUCCCCUUCUGCCAUGAUUUGUGAUGCCUCCUCAGCCAUGUGGAACUGAGUCAUGGCCGGCUUCAACAUGGGGGGCGACCUCAGGGAGCCUGCCGCCAGCAUUCCCCUGGGCUCCCUGGCAGCUGUUGGCAUCUCGUGGUUUCUGUACAUUGUCUUCGUCUUCCUCCUGGGCGCCAUCUGCACUCGAGAGGCCCUUCGCUAUGACUUCCUGAUAGCGGAAAAGGUAUCCCUCGUGGGCUUCCUGUUCCUUUUGGGCUUAUACAUCUCAUCCCUGGCUUCCUGUAUGGGAGGACUUUAUGGAGCUCCCCGCAUCCUGCAGUGCAUUGCCCAGGAGAAAGUGAUCCCUGCACUUGCCUGUCUGGGACAAGGGAAGGGGCUAAACAAAACACCCGUGGCUGCCAUCUGCCUGACCAGCUUGGUGACCAUGGCCUUUGUUCUUGUGGGUCAAGUGAACGUUCUGGCCCCCAUCGUCACCAUCAACUUCAUGCUGACAUACGUCGCAGUGGACUACUCUUACUUCUCCCUGUCCAUGGGUUCCUGCAGCCUGACCCCGGUGCCUGAGCUGGUGCUCAGGGAGAGCCCGGAAGGCCUCCACUGCUCUGAGCACCUGCUCUUAGAGAAAGCUCCCAACUAUGGCUCUGAGGGACCUGCCCAAAGAGUCUUGGAGGGCACGCUGCCGGAAUUCACCAAGGACAUGGAUCAGCUCCUCCAGCUAACCAGGAAGCUUGAGAGUAGCCACCCCAGGCAAGGAGAGGGUAACAGGACCCCAGAAAGUCAGAAGAGGAAAAGCAAGAAGGCCACCAAGCAGACCCUACAAGAUAGCUUCCUCUUGGACCUCAGAUCCCAUCCUUCUUUUCCUGUCGAGAUCUCUGACAGGUUGCCUGCUGCCUCCUGGGAGGGGCAGGAGUCCUGCUGGAACAAGCAGACUUCCAGGAGCGAAGGGACUCAGCCUGAGGGAACAUAUGGAGAGCAACUUGUUCCUGAGCUGUGCAACCAAUCAGAGUCCAGUGGAGAAGGAGCUUGCGGUCCCCUCAGGAGCAGAUCAUCUUGGCGCCGUCCCUGGCUAAGGUUGACAUGGAGAUGACUCAGCUCACCCAGGAGAAUGCAGACUUCGCCACUCGGGAUCGCUACCACCACUCCUCCCUCAUGAGCCCGGAGCAGCUGAUGCCUCACUACUAGAUGCAGUGCUGGGACCUUCCUCUUUUGGAGCUGUCCCAUGCACAGUGGACCCAAACCCAGAACCUUCGUGGGGCUGCUUCUCCAACCUGAGAAACUCAAGGCCCAUCCUCCCGCUGUCACUUUGGACGAUGGAAAUCUACAUUUUCUUUUCCCUUUUUUUUUUUUUUUUUUUUUUUUGAGACACAGUCUCUUGGCUCACUGCAACCUCUGCUUCCCGAGUUCAAGCAAUUCUCCUGCCUCAGCCUCCUGAGUAGCUGGGAUUACAGGCAUGCACCACCACACCCAGCUAUUUUUUUGUAUUUUUACUGGAGACAGGGUUUCACCAUGUUGGCCAGGCUGGUCUCGAACUCCUGACCUCAUGAUCCACCCGUCUCAGCCUCCCAAAGUACUGGGAUUACAGGCAUGAGCCACCAUGCCUGGCCAGAAAUCUACGUUUUCUUAGAACAUGUGGGAGAAGGAAAAAGACAAAAAAGGAAAUCUGGAUUCUGAGGACCACGUCUCACCCAGGGUGACAUCAGGAAUGGUGCUAGCCUCUGCAACACAACACCCAGUCUGAAGAGCUCUACACAGGUACUAAGACUAGCAGGGGACACCAAGACUCCCAGGUGUGGAGAACUAGAACUGAUCCACAACCAGAUUGCUUGUGCAGAGGGUCACAAUAAGUGUAUGUUUUAUAUUUUAUUGUAUUAUUUAUUUUUGAAUAAAUAAUACACUCACACGGUUCCACACCCAAAAGAUAUAUAGA
This 1947-nucleotide small RNA is filed under the name Pongo abelii (Sumatran orangutan). RNAcentral describes it as "processed transcript". Lineage: Eukaryota; Metazoa; Chordata; Mammalia; Primates; Hominidae. The record is from RNAcentral.